GUUGUAUGAUGAGCCUUCUAUUCAGUUCUGCUUCCGAAUGGAGAGCAAUCUCUUGUGGACAACCUCUACCAAAAACUCUCAAUCCUGACCC
Molecule: small nucleolar RNA, 91 nt
Filed under: Daedalea quercina L-15889
Lineage: Eukaryota; Fungi; Basidiomycota; Agaricomycetes; Polyporales; Fomitopsidaceae
Source: RNAcentral